RNAcentral lists this ribosomal RNA (253 nucleotides) under uncultured bacterium. Its description in RNAcentral is "partial 16S ribosomal RNA". It matches the Rfam family "Bacterial small subunit ribosomal RNA", at positions 524 to 776 of the family's 1533-position model. The record is from RNAcentral.
GACGAACCGGGCAAACGUUAUUCGGAAUCACUGGGCUUAAAGGGUGCGUAGGCGGCUCUGAAAGUUGGGUGUGAAAUCCCUCGGCUCAACCGAGGAAUUGCGCCCAAAACUGCAGAGCUUGAGGAAGGCAGAGGUGAGCGGAACUGAUGGUGGAGCGGUGAAAUGCGUUGAUAUCAUCAGGAACACCAGUGGCGAAGGCGGCUCACGGGGCCUUUUAUGACGCUGAGGCACGAAAGCCAGGGGAGCAAACGGG